This is a non-coding RNA of Acanthosepion pharaonis, 108 nucleotides long. The record is from the annotation of a GenBank genome assembly. Lineage: Eukaryota; Metazoa; Mollusca; Cephalopoda; Sepiida; Sepiidae.
UUAUGGCCACAUCAUGUUGAAACACCGAUUCCUGUACGAUCACCAAAGUUAAGCAAUGUUGAGCCUGGUCAGUAUCUAGAUGAGUGAUAGCUUGGGAAUACCACGUGC